Molecule: transfer RNA, 70 nt
Filed under: Beaufortia pingi
Lineage: Eukaryota; Metazoa; Chordata; Actinopteri; Cypriniformes; Gastromyzontidae
Description: tRNA-His
Rfam family: tRNA
About the family: Transfer RNA (tRNA) molecules are approximately 80 nucleotides in length. Their secondary structure includes four short double-helical elements and three loops (D, anti-codon, and T loops). Further hydrogen bonds mediate the characteristic L-shaped molecular structure. tRNAs have two regions of fundamental functional importance: the anti-codon, which is responsible for specific mRNA codon recognition, and the 3' end, to which the tRNAs corresponding amino acid is attached (by aminoacyl-tRNA synthetases). tRNAs cope with the degeneracy of the genetic code in two manners: having more than one tRNA (with a specific anti-codon) for a particular amino acid; and 'wobble' base-pairing, i.e. permitting non-standard base-pairing at the 3rd anti-codon position.
Source: RNAcentral
GUAAGUAUAGUUUAAUUAAAAACAUCAGAUUGUGAUUCUGAAGACAGAGGUUAAAAUCCUCUUACUCACC